This 805-nucleotide ribosomal RNA is filed under the name uncultured bacterium. Its description in RNAcentral is "bacterial SSU rRNA". It matches the Rfam family "Bacterial small subunit ribosomal RNA", at positions 1 to 814 of the family's 1533-position model. The record is from RNAcentral.
GAAUUCGCCCUUAGAGUUUGAUUCUGGCUCAGGACGAACGCUGGCGGCGUGCUUAAUACAUGCAAGUCGAACGGAGUUAAGGGUUUCGGCCUUUAACUUAGUGGCGAACGGGUGAGUAACGCGUGAAUAACCUGACUCAAAGAGGGGGAUAACAACGGGAAACUGUUGCUAAUACCGCAUGAGACCACAACACCGCAUGAUGAAGGGGUCAAAGAUUUAUCGCUUUGAGAGGGGUUCGCGUCCCAUUAGGUAGUUGGAGGGGUAACGGCCCACCAAGCCAACGAUGGGUAGCCGAGCUGAGAGGCUGAUCGGCCACACUGGAACUGAGACACGGUCCAGACUCCUACGGGAGGCAGCAGUAGGGAAUAUUGGGCAAUGGGCGCAAGCCUGACCCAGCAACGCCGCGUGAGGGAAGAAGGUUUUCGGAUUGUAAACCUCUGUCCUAUGUGACGAAGGAAGUGACGGUAGCAUAGGAGGAAGCCCCGGCUAACUACGUGCCAGCAGCCGCGGUAAUACGUAGGGGGCGAGCGUUGUCCGGAAUUACUGGGCGUAAAGGGUGCGUAGGCGGUUUGGUAAGUUGGAUGUGAAAUACCCGGGCUUAACUUGGGGGCUGCAUCCAAUACUGUCGGACUUGAGUGCAGGAGAGGAAAGCGGAAUUCCUAGUGUAGCGGUGAAAUGCGUAGAUAUUAGGAGGAACACCGGUGGCGAAGGCGGCUUUCUGGACUGUAACUGACGCUGAGGCACGAAAGCGUGGGGAGCAAACCAGGAUUAGAUACCCUGGUAGUCCACGCCGUAAACGAUGAAU